Molecule: ribosomal RNA, 468 nt
Filed under: uncultured bacterium
Lineage: Bacteria
Description: partial 16S ribosomal RNA
Rfam family: Bacterial small subunit ribosomal RNA
Source: RNAcentral
GACGAACGCUGGCGGCGUGCUUAACACAUGCAAGUCGAACGGAAAGGCCCUGCUUUUGUGGGGUGCUCGAGUGGCGAACGGGUGAGUAACACGUGAGUAACCUGCCCUUGACUUUGGGAUAACUUCAGGAAACUGGGGCUAAUACCGGAUAGGAGCUCCUGCUGCAUGGUGGGGGUUGGAACGUUUCGGCGGUUGGGGAUGGACUCGCGGCUUAUCAGCUUGUUGGUGGGGUAGUGGCUUACCAAGGCUUUGACGGGUAGCCGGCCUGAGAGGGUGACCGGGCACAUUGGGACUGAGAGACGGCCCAGACUCCUACGGGAGGCAGCAGUGGGGAAUAUGGCACAAUGGGAGGAAGCCUGAUGCAGCAACGCCGCGUGCGGGAUGACGGCCUUCGGGUUGUAAACCGCUUUCGCCUGUGACGAAGCGUGAGUGACGGUAAUGGGUAAAGAAGCACCGGCUAACUACGUG